RNAcentral lists this ribosomal RNA (239 nucleotides) under uncultured bacterium. RNAcentral describes it as "partial 16S ribosomal RNA". It matches the Rfam family "Bacterial small subunit ribosomal RNA", at positions 100 to 334 of the family's 1533-position model. The record is from RNAcentral.
CCGGCACGGGUGGAGUAACACGUAUCCAACCUGCCGUCUACUCUUGGCCAGCCUUCUGAAGGAAGAUUAAUCCAGGAUGGCAUCAUGAGUUCACAUGUCCGCAUGAUUAAAGGUAUUUUCCGGUAGACGAUGGGGAUGCGUUCCAUUAGAUAGUAGGCGGGGUAACGGCCCACCUAGUCAACGAUGGAUAGGGGUUCUGAGAGGAAGGUCCCCCACAUUGGAACUGAGACACGGUCCAA